CCUACGGGUGGCUGCAGUGAGGAAUAUUGGUCAAUGGGCGAGAGCCUGAACCAGCCAAGUCGCGUGAAGGAUGAAGGCUCUAUGGGUUGUAAACUUCUUUUAUAGGGGAAUAAAGUGAGGCACGUGUGCCUUUUUGUAUGUACCAUAUGAAUAAGCAUCGGCUAACUCCGUGCCAGCAGCCGCGGUAAUACGGAGGAUGCGAGCGUUAUCCGGAUUUAUUGGGUUUAAAGGGGGCGUAGUUGGUUAGUUAAGUCAGCGGUGAAAGUUUGUGGCUCAACCCUAAAAUUGCCGUUGAAACUGGUUGCCUUGCGUAUAUUUGCGGUAGGCGCAAUGCGUGGUGUAGCGGUGACAUGCCUCGAUAUCACGCAGAACUCCGAUUGCGACGGCAGCCUACUAAACU
RNAcentral lists this ribosomal RNA (400 nucleotides) under uncultured bacterium. Its description in RNAcentral is "partial 16S ribosomal RNA". It matches the Rfam family "Bacterial small subunit ribosomal RNA", at positions 338 to 735 of the family's 1533-position model. The record is from RNAcentral.